RNAcentral lists this ribosomal RNA (279 nucleotides) under uncultured bacterium. RNAcentral's name for it is "partial 16S ribosomal RNA". It matches the Rfam family "Bacterial small subunit ribosomal RNA", at positions 28 to 311 of the family's 1533-position model. The record is from RNAcentral.
GAUGAACGCUAGCGGCAGGCUUAACACAUGCAAGUCGAGGGGUAUGCUUCUUCGGAAGCAGAGACCGGCGCACGGGUGCGUAACGCGUAUGCAAUCUACCUUUUACAGAGGGAUAGCCCAGAGAAAUUUGGAUUAAUACCUCAUAGUAUUAUAGAAUGGCAUCAUUUUAUAAUUAAAGUCACAACGGUAAAAGAUGAGCAUGCGUCCCAUUAGCUAGUUGGAAGGUAACGGCUUACCAAGGCUACGAUGGGUAGGGGUCCUGAGAGGGAGAUCCCCCAC